AGAAGAGGAAGAGCCGGAAGCUCGAGUUCACGGAAGGAGGGUGAGGGAGCUGAUAGAGAAUGAUGAGGUUGAUAGUUAUUCUGCCGGAACCACCGGAAGAACGGGGAGCGAGACAUGGGAGGAGGAAGGUCGCGCGGAGAAAAGGCCCAAGCAGGAAGAAGAGAGCGUAGACCAAAAGCUGCAGAAGAUGAGAGAGCAACUUUUGGCUGAGUUAGGGGCGAAGGACCCCAGCCAAACUCUUCUGCCUACCUCUUCACCCUUCUCAAAGUGGGUGCAGCAGGAGACCGUCCCGAAGAAAUUUAUGAUGCCACCUAUGGCGGCGUACGACGGAGCUGGAAACCCCCGGGAGCACGUCUUGAACUACAA
RNAcentral lists this long non-coding RNA (366 nucleotides) under Manihot esculenta (cassava). Its description in RNAcentral is "long non-coding RNA (MESC_LNC005802)". The record is from RNAcentral. Lineage: Eukaryota; Viridiplantae; Streptophyta; Magnoliopsida; Malpighiales; Euphorbiaceae.